This 503-nucleotide ribosomal RNA is filed under the name uncultured bacterium. RNAcentral describes it as "partial 16S ribosomal RNA". It matches the Rfam family "Bacterial small subunit ribosomal RNA", at positions 30 to 523 of the family's 1533-position model. The record is from RNAcentral.
AUUGAACGCUGGCGGCAGGCUUAACACAUGCAAGUCGAGCGGGGUGAUGGUGCUUGCACUAUCACUUAGCGGCGGGCGGGUGAGUAAUGCUUAGGAAUCUGCUUAUUAGCGGGGGACAACAUCUCGAAAGGGAUGCUAAUACCGCAUACGUCCUACGGGAGAAAGCAGGGGAUCACUUGUGACCUUGCGCUAAUAGAUGAGCCUAAGUCGGAUUAGCUAGUUGGUGGGGUAAAGGCCUACCAAGGCGACGAUCUGUAGCGGGUCUGAGAGGAUGAUCCGCCACACUGGGACUGAGACACGGCCCAGACUCCUACGGGAGGCAGCAGUGGGGAAUAUUGGACAAUGGGGGGAACCCUGAUCCAGCCAUGCCGCGUGUGUGAAGAAGGCCUUAUGGUUGUAAAGCACUUUAAGCGAGGAGGAGGCUCUUUUGGUUAAUACCCAAGAUGAGUGGACGUUACUCGCAGAAUAAGCACCGGCUAACUCUGUGCCAGCAGCCGCCGUAA